CCUACGGGAGACAGCAGUGAGGAAUAUUGGUCAAUGGACGGAAGUCUGAACCAGCCAUGCCGCGUGCAGGAAGACGGCUCUAUGAGUUGUAAACUGCUUUUGUAGAAGGGUAAACCGGAAUACGUGUAUGCAGCUGAAAGUACGGUACGAAUAAGGAUCGGCUAACUCCGUGCCAGCAGCCGCGGUAAGACGGAGGAACCAAGCGUUAUCCGGAUUUAUUGGGUUUAAAGGGGGCGUAGGCGGGUUGAUAAGUUAGAGGUGAAAUUUCCUGGCUUAACUCGGGAACUGCCUCUCAUACUGUUGCUCUAGUGUGUAGCUGCGGUAGGCGGAAUGUCUGGUGUAGCGGUGAAAUGCUUA
This 357-nucleotide ribosomal RNA is filed under the name uncultured bacterium. Its description in RNAcentral is "partial 16S ribosomal RNA". It matches the Rfam family "Bacterial small subunit ribosomal RNA", at positions 338 to 692 of the family's 1533-position model. The record is from RNAcentral.